RNAcentral lists this long non-coding RNA (248 nucleotides) under Gossypium barbadense (sea-island cotton). Its description in RNAcentral is "long non-coding RNA (GBAR_LNC003840)". The record is from RNAcentral. Lineage: Eukaryota; Viridiplantae; Streptophyta; Magnoliopsida; Malvales; Malvaceae.
GGUCUGGCUGUCAUGCUUCCUCUUCUCUUCCCUUCGCAAUUCAUCCAACUUUUCUUUGGUAAAUGGGAAGGCAUCAACCCCAUACCGGUAAAUGAGUUCUACACCAUCAUAGUAAGUAUCAUCAUCCUUGGUGUUGUCAGGCUGCAAAAUAACUAAGCAAGGAAUGCUUUCCACGUCAUAUUUUCGAUUCAAUGCCUUCUUUGUCUCCAAAUCAGAAAAGGGAAUCGAAAGCCAUGGCAUGUUUUCAC